This 152-nucleotide ribosomal RNA is filed under the name Afipia sp. RNAcentral describes it as "partial 23S ribosomal RNA". It matches the Rfam family "Bacterial large subunit ribosomal RNA", at positions 2771 to 2925 of the family's 2925-position model. The record is from RNAcentral. Lineage: Bacteria; Pseudomonadati; Pseudomonadota; Alphaproteobacteria; Hyphomicrobiales; Nitrobacteraceae.
CUGAAAGCAUCUAAGCGGGAAACCCACCUCAAAACGAGUAUUCCCUUGAGAACCGUGGAAGACGACCACGUUGAUAGGCCGGGUGUGGAAGUGCAGUAAUGCAUGUAGCUUACCGGUACUAAUCGUUCGAUUGGCUUGAUUGCUCUCAUUUU